GACGAACGCUGGCGGCGUGCCUAAUACAUGCAAGUAGAACGCUGAAGGAGGAGCUUGCUCUUCUGGAUGAGUUGCGAACGGGUGAGUAACGCGUAGGUAACCUGCCUGUUAGCGGGGGAUAACUAUUGGAAACGAUAGCUAAUACCGCAUAACAGUAGAUGUUGCAUGACAUUUGCUUAAAAGGUGCAAUUGCACCACUACCAGAUGGACCUGCGUUGUAUUAGCUAGUUGGUGGGGUAACGGCUAACCAAGGCGACGAUACAUAGCCGACCUGAGAGGGGGAUCGGCCACACUGGGACUGAGACACGGCCCAGACUCCUACGGGAGGCAGCAGUAGGGAAUCUUCGGCAAUGGACGGAAGUCUGACCGAGCAACGCCGCGUGAGUGAAGAAGGUUUUCGGAUCGUAAAGCUCUGUUGUAAGAGAAGAACGAGUGUGAGAGUGGAAAGUUCACACUGUGACGGUAUCUUACCAGAAAGGGACGGCUAACUACGUG
Molecule: ribosomal RNA, 495 nt
Filed under: uncultured bacterium
Lineage: Bacteria
Description: partial 16S ribosomal RNA
Rfam family: Bacterial small subunit ribosomal RNA
Source: RNAcentral